UAUAAUAAAAGGGCCGAAAAAGGGUAUCCAAUGGCAUUUCAGACAUGAGUAGUCAUCAUAACUUCAUACUCUCUCUGUGGCAUUUCACCUGCCAAAGAUCUCCUUGGGACCAGAUUCCAUUCUCAGCUUGUGACCAAGAUAAAGUUACCAUAUAACUAAUCUUUUUGGAAUGGGAAGUCAAGGACCAGAUAAAAUUAAAUGCCUUUGACACUAUCACCCAAGAGACCAGUGCUUCAUUACUGAUGAGAUGAUGUGCAGUCCGUCACAGAGCAAUGUCACUAAUGAGCCUUCUAAACAACCAGAACCACACUUUUUAAUAAGGAUUGGAAAAUGAGAACUACGAUGUCUUGCCUGUUAGAGAAAAAAAGGAGUGUGAGAGAUAUACAAAGUCCUGCCUCAUGUAAAUUGGUAUUUGCCUUUUCAAAUGACAUGUUUGUUAGUCAAGUAUACAAAGAUGUCUUAGGCAGGUACUGGG
Callorhinus ursinus (northern fur seal) is the source of this 475-nucleotide non-coding RNA. Lineage: Eukaryota; Metazoa; Chordata; Mammalia; Carnivora; Otariidae. The record is from RefSeq and is a predicted model, not a curated record.